This 695-nucleotide long non-coding RNA is filed under the name Sorghum bicolor (sorghum). Its description in RNAcentral is "long non-coding RNA (SBIC_LNC016603)". Lineage: Eukaryota; Viridiplantae; Streptophyta; Magnoliopsida; Poales; Poaceae. The record is from RNAcentral.
GUUUUAUAAAAUAGAAAGUUAGUUAUCUCUUGAUUUUCGGUGGCCAUAUAUAGCCAACACUGACACUGGCUAUCUGAUUUUAUAAAAUAGCAAGACUGUUGUGGAUAUAUUCUUUUUUAAUAAUUUUUUUUAUUUUACAAAAUGGCUAAACGAUAAAAUUUAGCUAUUAAUUGUAGCCAAACUCUUGGAGUUGCUCUUACAUUAUUUGUAGUGUGGAUAGCCAUUACAUUAUUUAUAGUGGUGGAUAACUUAGAUGUACAUUAUGGUUAUACUUCAGAUUUUUUUCAAUAUGGGGUGGAAAAACCUAGAGGCACUAAAAGGAGAAUCUGAUUGGUAGUAAUGUUAGGACGUGUCAGAAAGAAAAUUGUUAAGCACAACUGCACAAGUGAUACCUGGUGGCGCAAAUGGGAUGGCCGGUGACUACCCAAAUUUCUCGAUAGUGUUUAUGCCUACGCAAGCAAUGGUUGGAGCUUUGUAGGCAUCCUAGCAAUUUCUAGCUCCGCCAAUGGUUGGUGAAUUCUUGUUCCAAAUUGAAAAAAGGUAGGAGCCACUAAGAAGGUAAUUUUACACUCAAUUAUACUAGUAUAAAAAAAAAGAAGAAGCUUUACCACUAUUGACAUUUGACAAGUACAAUUACAUGGGCGGUCUACCUUUACAGCCUUUACAUGCCACACCAGCUAUUUUUGUACCCUCAU